This 445-nucleotide ribosomal RNA is filed under the name uncultured marine bacterium. RNAcentral describes it as "bacterial SSU rRNA". It matches the Rfam family "Bacterial small subunit ribosomal RNA", at positions 360 to 804 of the family's 1533-position model. The record is from RNAcentral.
AAUCUUCGGCAAUGAGCGAAAGCUUGACCGAGCGAUGCCGCGUGCGGGAUGAAGGCCCUCGGGUUGUAAACCGCUGUCAGUUGGGAGGAAGGGUGCGUGAAGAGCGCAUCUUGACCUAUCUUCAGAGGAAGUCCGGGCUAAGUUCGUGCCAGCAGCCGCGGUAACACGAACCGGACAAACGUUAUUCGGAAUUAUUGGGCUUAAAGGGUGUGUAGGCGGCGAUGUAGGUGGGGUGUGAAAUCCCUCGGCUCAACCGAGGAACUGCGCUCCAAACCACAUGGCUAGAGGGAGACAGAGGUAAGCGGAACUGAUGGUGGAGCGGUGAAAUGCGUUGAUAUCAUCAGGAACACCAGUGGCGAAAGCGGCUUACUGGGUCUCUUCUGACGCUGAGACACGAAAGCUAGGGUAGCGAACGGGAUUAGAUACCCCGGUAGUCCUAGCUGUA